UGGGGAAUUUUGGACAAUGGGCGCAAGCCUGAUCCAGCCAUGCCGCGUGCAGGAUGAAGGCCCUCGGGUUGUAAACUGCUUUCGUACGGAACGAAAAGCCUCUUUCUAAUAAAGAGGGGUGAUGACGGUACCGUAAGAAUAAGCACCGGCUAACUACGUGCCAGCAGCCGCGGUAAUACGUAGGGUGCGAGCGUUAAUCGGAAUUACUGGGCGUAAAGCGUGCGCAGGCGGUCUUGCAAGACAGUGGUGAAAUCCCCGGGCUCAACCUGGGAACUGCCAUCGUGACUGCAAGGCUGGAGUACGGCAGAGGGGGAUGGAAUUCCGCGUGUAGCAGUGAAAUGCGUAGAUAUGCGGAGGAACACCGAUGGCGAAGGCAGUCCCCUGGGCCUGUACUGACGCUCAUGCACGAAAGCGUGGGGAGCAAACA
Molecule: ribosomal RNA, 427 nt
Filed under: uncultured bacterium
Lineage: Bacteria
Description: bacterial SSU rRNA
Rfam family: Bacterial small subunit ribosomal RNA
Source: RNAcentral